Long non-coding RNA from Ornithorhynchus anatinus (platypus), 360 nucleotides. RefSeq lists it as uncharacterized. The record is from RefSeq and is a predicted model, not a curated record. NCBI's taxonomy places the organism in Eukaryota, Metazoa, Chordata, Mammalia, Monotremata, Ornithorhynchidae. The transcript is spliced from 3 exons.
ACUCCAAAGCCCGUGCCCUUCCCACUGAGCCACGCUAACCACAAGGAUGGGAGAUUUCGGGAGAGGCCAAUUUGUCUAUUUUUUCUGCCUCCAGGUUGAACCACCGGGAAACCAUCUAAAACAGAACAAAGGUCCACGGGCAGAGCGAGGGAGUUGCAAUCAACCAAUCAAUGAUAUUUAUCAAGUGCUGACUGAGGAGCACUGUACUAAGCGCUUGGGAGAGCACAGUACAAGAUAAUCAGUGGAGACAAUCCCUGACCAGCAGGAGCGUUGUGACUAGAAAUCACCUACAAAGCCCACCUGUGCAGUAUGAGAAGCAGCGUGGCUCAGUGGAAAGAGCCCGGGCUUGGGAGUCAGAGU